CGAGGGAUCCUAGCGUUGUUCGGAAUCAUUGGGCGUAAAGCGGGUGUAGGUGGGCUUCUAAGUCAGAUGUGAAAUCCCAGGGCUCAACCCUGGAAGUGCAUUUGAUACUGGAAGUCUUGAGUGUGGUAGAGGUUACUGGAAUUGUUGGUGUAGUGGUGAAAUACGUAGAUAUCAACAGGAAUACCGGAGGCGAAGGCGAGUAACUGGGCCAACACUGACACUGAGACCCGAAAGCGUGGGGAUCAAACAGGAUUAGAUACCCUGGUAGUCCACGCCAUAAACGAUGGAUACUUGUUGUUAGAGGUAUUGACCCCUCUAGUGACGUAGCUAACGCGUUAAGUAUCCCGCCUGGGGAGUACGGUCGCAAGAUUA
This 372-nucleotide ribosomal RNA is filed under the name uncultured organism. RNAcentral's name for it is "bacterial SSU rRNA". It matches the Rfam family "Bacterial small subunit ribosomal RNA", at positions 526 to 896 of the family's 1533-position model. The record is from RNAcentral.